Cephalotus follicularis is the source of this 46-nucleotide non-coding RNA. The record is from Rfam. Lineage: Eukaryota; Viridiplantae; Streptophyta; Magnoliopsida; Oxalidales; Cephalotaceae.
ACAAUGGUUCCUUUUGGAACCCAAAUUUUUCUAUUACAAAAUUUUU